UGACUACGAUGCUUAGCUGGUCUGAGAGGAUGAUCAGUCACACUGGAACUGAGACACGGUCCAGACUCCUACGGGAGGCAGCAGUGGGGAAUAUUGCGCAAUGGGGGAAACCCUGACGCAGCAAUGCCGAGUGAGUGAGGAAGGCCUUCGGGUUGUAAAGCUCUGUCAGAAGGGAAUAACGGUUCAAGGUCCAAUAGGCCUUGGAUUUGAAGGUACCUUCAAAGGAAGCACCGGCUAACUUCGUGCCAGCAGCCGCGGUAAUACGAAGGGUGCAAGCGUUGUUCGGAUUUAUUGGGCGUAAAGCGCGCGCAGGCGGAUUGUUAAGUCAGAUGUGA
RNAcentral lists this ribosomal RNA (335 nucleotides) under uncultured Halobacteriovorax sp. RNAcentral describes it as "bacterial SSU rRNA". It matches the Rfam family "Bacterial small subunit ribosomal RNA", at positions 271 to 597 of the family's 1533-position model. The record is from RNAcentral. Lineage: Bacteria; Pseudomonadati; Bdellovibrionota; Bacteriovoracia; Bacteriovoracales; Halobacteriovoraceae.